CAGUCGCCACGGUAAUACGUAGGUGGCAAGCGUUGUCCGGAAUUAUUGGGCGUAAAGCGCGCGCAGGCGGAUAGGUCAGUCUGUCUUAAAAGUUCGGGGCUUAACCCCGUGAUGGGAUGGAAACUGCUGAUCUAGAGUAUCGGAGAGGAAAGUGGAAUUCCUUGUGUAGCGGUGAAAUGCGUAGAUAUUAGGAAGAACACCAGUGGCGAAGGCGACUUUCUGGACGAAAACUGACGCUGAGGCGCGAAAGCCAGGGGAGCGAACGGGAUUAGAUACCCCCGUAGUCCCUGUCUCUUAUACA
This 301-nucleotide ribosomal RNA is filed under the name uncultured bacterium. RNAcentral describes it as "partial 16S ribosomal RNA". It matches the Rfam family "Bacterial small subunit ribosomal RNA", at positions 509 to 809 of the family's 1533-position model. The record is from RNAcentral.